RNAcentral lists this ribosomal RNA (624 nucleotides) under Xylaria grammica. RNAcentral's name for it is "eukaryotic LSU rRNA". The stretch from base 250 to 403 matches the Rfam family "5.8S ribosomal RNA". Lineage: Eukaryota; Fungi; Ascomycota; Sordariomycetes; Xylariales; Xylariaceae. The record is from RNAcentral.
UCUUGGUCAUUUAGAGGAAGUAAAAGUCGUAACAAGGUCUCCGUUGGUGAACCAGCGGAGGGAUCAUUAAAGAGUUAUUACAACUCCCAAACCCAUGUGAACUUACCUUCUGUUGCCUCGGCAGGUCGCGACCUACCCUGUGAGGCCCUACCCUGUAGGGCCCUACCUGGUAGUCGCGGGUACGCCUGCCGGUGGCCCAUGAAACUCUGUUUAUUCUUGUUAUUCUGAAUCUAUAACUAAAUAAGUUAAAACUUUCAACAACGGAUCUCUUGGUUCUGGCAUCGAUGAAGAACGCAGCGAAAUGCGAUAAGUAAUGUGAAUUGCAGAAUUCAGUGAAUCAUCGAAUCUUUGAACGCACAUUGCGCCCAUUAGUAUUCUAGUGGGCAUGCCUGUUCGAGCGUCAUUUCAACCCUUAAGCCCCUGUUGCUUAGCGUUGGGAGCCUACAGCCUUCUGUAGCUCCCUAAAGUUAGUGGCGGAGUCGGUUUACACUCUAGACGUAGUAAAUUUUAUCUCGUCUGUAGUUAGGCCGGUCCCUCGCCGUAAAACGGGCCUAAUUUUUAAAGGUUGACCUCGGAUCAGGUAGGAAUACCCGCUGAACUUAAGCAUAUCAAUAAGGCGGAGGA